CCUACGGGAGGCAGCAGUGGGGAAUCUUCCGCAAUGGGCGAAAGCCUGACGGAGCAACGCCGCGUGAUCGAAUGAAGGCCUUCGGGUUGUAAAGAUCUGUUGACAGGGACGAAUAAGCAAUGCGAAUAGGUUUGUGUAGGACGGUACCUGUUUAGAAAGCUCCGGCUAACUACGUGUCAGCAGCCGCGGUAAUACGUAGGGAGCAAGGGUUGUCCGGAAUUACUGGGCGUAAAGGGGGCGUAGGUGGGCGCUUAAGUCAGUUGUGAAAACUGCGGGCUCAACCUGGAGACUGCACUUGAAACUGGGUGUCUUGAGGGCAGGAGAGGAAAGUGGAAUUCCUAGUGUAGCGGUGAAAUGCGUAGAUAUUAGGAGGAACACCAGUGGCGAAGGCGACUUUCUGGACUGUAACUGACGCUGAGGCGCGAAAGCGUGGGUAGCGAACGGGAUUAGAUACCCGAGUAGUC
Molecule: ribosomal RNA, 464 nt
Filed under: uncultured bacterium
Lineage: Bacteria
Description: partial 16S ribosomal RNA
Rfam family: Bacterial small subunit ribosomal RNA
Source: RNAcentral